Molecule: ribosomal RNA, 1000 nt
Filed under: Microbacterium lacticum
Lineage: Bacteria; Bacillati; Actinomycetota; Actinomycetes; Micrococcales; Microbacteriaceae
Description: bacterial SSU rRNA
Rfam family: Bacterial small subunit ribosomal RNA
Source: RNAcentral
ACGCUGGCGGCGUGCUUAACACAUGCAAGUCGAACGGUGAAGCCAAGCUUGCUUGGUGGAUCAGUGGCGAACGGGUGAGUAACACGUGAGCAACCUGCCCUGGACUCUGGGAUAAGCGCUGGAAACGGCGUCUAAUACUGGAUAUGAGCNUCUUCCGCAUGGUGGGGGUUGGAAAGAUUUUUUGGUCUGGGAUGGGCUCGCGGCCUAUCAGCUUGUUGGUGAGGUAAUGGCUCACCAAGGCGUCGACGGGUAGCCGGCCUGAGAGGGUGACCGGCCACACUGGGACUGAGACACGGCCCAGACUCCUACGGGAGGCAGCAGUGGGGAAUAUUGCACAAUGGGCGGAAGCCUGAUGCAGCAACGCCGCGUGAGGGAUGACGGCCUUCGGGUUGUAAACCUCUUUUAGCAGGGAAGAAGCGAAAGUGACGGUACCUGCAGAAAAAGCGCCGGCUAACUACGUGCCAGCAGCCGCGGUAAUACGUAGGGCGCAAGCGUUAUCCGGAAUUAUUGGGCGUAAAGAGCUCGUAGGCGGUUUGUCGCGUCUGCUGUGAAAUCCCGAGGCUCAACCUCGGGCCUGCAGUGGGUACGGGCAGACUAGAGUGCGGUAGGGGAGAUUGGAAUUCCUGGUGUAGCGGUGGAAUGCGCAGAUAUCAGGAGGAACACCGAUGGCGAAGGCAGAUCUCUGGGCCGUAACUGACGCUGAGGAGCGAAAGGGUGGGGAGCAAACAGGCUUAGAUACCCUGGUAGUCCACCCCGUAAACGUUGGGAACUAGUUGUGGGGACCAUUCCACGGUUUCCGUGACGCAGCUAACGCAUUAAGUUCCCCGCCUGGGGAGUACGGCCGCAAGGCUAAAACUCAAAGGAAUUGACGGGGACCCGCACAAGCGGCGGAGCAUGCGGAUUAAUUCGAUGCAACGCGAAGAACCUUACCAAGGCUUGACAUACACCAGAACGGGCCAGAAAUGGUCAACUCUUUGGACACUGGUGAACAGGUGGUGCA